This is a long non-coding RNA of Clupea harengus (Atlantic herring), 312 nucleotides long. RefSeq lists it as uncharacterized. NCBI's taxonomy places the organism in Eukaryota, Metazoa, Chordata, Actinopteri, Clupeiformes, Clupeidae. The transcript is spliced from 2 exons. The record is from RefSeq and is a predicted model, not a curated record.
CAUAAUCACUUUGAAUCUAUAGUUAUGUUUUUCCCCCUUUUUUUACAGGGACACCAGCCUUCUGCAGAUUAGAGAAGGUGUUGACUAACAAGAGGGUUCUAAAAGAUGUGGGGAAGCUGAGCCCUCACUACCAGACCUCGUUGUUGGAGUCUUUCCACAGCGUCAUUCUGCGUUUUGCGCCCAAAAACGUAGUCUUUCCCUUUCUUGGAAUGUUAUGCAGACUCUACCUGGCAGCCUUGCAUUUCAAUGAAAAUGCUGGGCGUCCCCAAGCAACAAGUUCAGCUGGUGAGCCACUAUUUAAAGUGAACUUCC